GGGGGUGACGUGGCUUCGACGGGGUACGACAGGUGACGUAGCUGCAUGCCGAGCUUGCUGGUGCUGCUCGUAAAUACAACCAGCAACGGCAAAAUGCCAACUCGUUCAGCUAUGCAAUGGCUGCCUAAGUAACGGCACCAUUGCUGGGAUGCGUUGAGCCAAGCUCCGCUCCCUGCUGCCCACUCAUGCGCCAUCACGUGAGUGUUCGCAGCAUCGAACCCUGAUGGCUCACCUGGUGAGUGUAUCGUUCCGCUCAUCGGGUGAUCCAACCGAACGAUAGCUCCUCGAGCGCGAGUUGCUCCGCCCCUGGAGGAGCGAAAGUUUGAUGAGCAACUGAGCAUGGAGAUGCUACGCGCUUGGUACUCCGGACCCGGGUUCAACUCCCGGCACCUCCACAC
Molecule: transfer-messenger RNA, 398 nt
Filed under: Bacteroidota (CFB group bacteria)
Lineage: Bacteria; Pseudomonadati
Also listed under: 2 other names
Description: g NICIL-2 X1 Standard tmRNA
Rfam family: transfer-messenger RNA
About the family: Bacterial tmRNA, also known as 10Sa RNA or SsrA, is named for its dual tRNA and mRNA-like properties. Its role is to liberate the mRNA from a stalled ribosome.
Source: RNAcentral